AGAGAUUGCAGAGGGGGAGGGGAGCACGGGAUGGGCGUGGGGGGAGAGCAGGCCUGCAGGUGCUGUGCCAGGCGAGAGACCUGGUAAUUAUGGGAUUUCUGAGUGCUGAGCAAGCAGGGCGCUGGGCCCUUCCUUGUGUGAUGGGAACCCACCGACAUCCCCUCACUGAAUCCUCUCCUGCGCCCAAGGAGGCGGGGACCACGGCCCGGUUCCACAUCAGGAACCGAAGCGCGCAGGGCGGCCUGCCUUUGCCGGAGGCCACACGGACCAGGAAACUAAUACAGAGGGAAACCAGCACAAGGAGGACUCAGAUCAGCUGGAGAAGAUGCUGGGGACCGGUUUAGUCCACUGCGGCUGCCAUACCAGAACACCACACGGGGGCUGAAACAACAGACAGGCACUGCCUCUCAGUCUGGAGUCUGGGAGUCCGAGAUCAAGGUGUCAGCACAGCUGGUCUCCUCGGAGGCCUCUCUCCUUGCUGUGCAGACGGGCACCCUCUUCACGUGGCCAUCCCUCUGGGCACACGCACUCCUGGCUUCUCCCUGUGUCCUAAUCUUUUCUUAUAGGGACACCAGCCAGAUUAUGGGCCUCAUUUUAACGAAUCACCUCUGUAAAGACCCUGUUUCCAAAUAGUCAUAUUCUGAGGUGCUGGGGGAGGGGUUAGGGCUUCAACACGGGAAUUCGGGGGCACGUAACAGGGAGCCUCCAAGCCUGCCUCAUUCCCACAAGGCCCUCACUUUUCUGGCAGCUUCCAGACCUCCCUAGGGCCCAGCGUGAGCCCAGGCAGCCUCAGCCUGUAGAACCAGUUGGAGCUACCAGGAGAACCGGUCGGGGCAGUCCAGGGGGUGUGGGUUUGCAGAAGGGACCGGAGUUCCCUGAGGACUGGUGGUCAGGACAGGACCCAGGCACCAGGCACGGAGGAACUCAGUCUCUCCCAGGCCAGACCCCAGAGCCACUCUCCCAGUCCUAACAAGGGCCGCUGAAGGCACCAGGGAACAAGCAGCAGUGGCUGGUGGCAGGCAGCGGGGUCGGGAGUUAGACGUGCUCUGGUGACUUGCUCUUUGCAGGGACAUUGACACGGAAGGGGCAGAAGAGGCAGCAAAGCAUGCAACACGCAGCCCCCAAUGCAGCCCAGGACUAAGAGAGGAGAGGUCUCCUGAUUCCUCCCUCUCUCGACACCACCCAGGCCCCUAACCACUCAGGGCCCCAGAGCCUCAGGCAGCAGGAGUGACAGACUGCCUUCCAGACUCUCUCCUCGCUGACCUGUAGCCUCCAGCCUCCACUGGGCUCCCCUCCCCCCUCCUCCAGGCCGGGGUGGACUCGCUCACACCCACAAACUGCAAAGGCGCAGGGCGGGUUUCAGACAGAAGACAGCCCAUGCCAAGUACACGAAUGGAGAAGAUUCAAUACAUAUAGUUACAUAAGGUAUAAAAUUGCUACACUGGUGACUCAAAAGGUAAAAAGAGGCUGAGGCAGCAAAGGGAACAGCUGGGAUUGUUAAAACGCGGAAACGUGGGCCUUGGACCCCAACCUCGGAGGGAGGGGUUCUGACAGGUGCUGGCAUGUCUGAGGUGCCAUGAAGUUGUUUUUACAAGCGUUGGAAAAGCCACAAAGGGAUUCAGCUCCCCACCCCAACCCUCUGCCUCUGGGACACUGAGUGUUUCUACAGCUUCUUCAUAAAAACACAACUCACAUCCACGCGGAGAGAAUCACAUCCUUCCCGAACUCUUUCCUCCUGCAUCACCACCGGCCUGUCUCAGCCAAGGGUGAAAAGUCUUGGAAUCUAAUAGGGUGGCCGUUGAACCCAACCCUGACCCUUUUUCUCUCUUGCUACUUCAGCUGGUGUGAUGGUUGAUUUUAGGUGUCAACCUCAUGGGGCUGACUGAUGCCCAGGUAGCUGGUAAAAUAUGAUUUCUGCCUGUGGCUACGAGGGCGCUUCUAGAAGAGAUUCACAUUUGAAUCAGUGGGUGAGGAAAGCUGAUCCCCCUCCCCAAGGUGAUGGACCACGUUCAAUUCUUUGAGGACCCACGUGGAACCAAAGGUGGAGGAAGGGGAAUUCACUCUCUCUGUUGAGCGGGGACGUCCAGCUUCUCCUGCCCUCAGACGUUGGUGCUUGUGGUUCUCAGGCCUUCGGACUUGGACUGAAUCACACCCCAGCUCUCCUGGGCCUCUCAGAUGGUGGGACUUCUGACUUCUCAGCCUCCAUAAUCACGGAGAAAACCAAACCAUAAAAGCAUCAGUCAUCCCCUGAUGAAGAAAUGAUGGUCCAGCUCAUGAAGACCAGGCAAUCGGGGCUGAAUAAUCAUCAGAGCUUCCAAACCACCAGGGGUCUGAGGUCUCUACAGACCUAUGCUUCCAGGAGCUUUGAAUUUAUCAGGACUGGCAAGAAGCAUCGAGUCCAGCACCACACGUUGUCUUGUGCAGACUCUACUUGAACACUUCUGGUGAUGAGGAGCUCUCCAGCUUGCGUUGGAAGAAGGUCCUGAUAAUCAGGAAGUCCUCCCUCACAGGGAGCCCAGACACUCUUCCCAGGUUGUGCACACCCCCUGGGGCAUCUGCUGGGCCCCACACGUAUAGGAGCUCCCCACGCAGUACGCUGACACCUCACGAGAUAAAAAAUGCCCAUCUCACAUCAAAGAAACUUCUCUGCAUUAUGAGUCACCCGGCAUCUUUCAGGCUGGACAUUUUCUCCCCUAAUAACCAGACCUUCCCUGAGCUCAGCCAGGCCAAGUGUUUCAUCUCCAUGCAUGUCCUGUUUGAGCACCAGGGGAAGUCGUGGGUACAUCUGAUCUUAGAGCUGGGAGCAAACAAUACAUCAAAGGCAGCUCCUUUUGAAAGUAGCGACUGCCCUGUUACAAUCCAGCAACAAAUUCCACCUGGCAUUCCAGGAGGAAAUCCCAACUGACCUCUCCCUCCCCGAGACCCUCCGGAGCUUAACUCACUGCCCGCACCGUCCAUCAGACACUUCUCACUGCCCGCACCGUCCAUCAGACACUUCAUCACGUGCUCUUUCCAGGCGUCUUUUCUCCUGGAGAGGAGAGUCUGAGUAGACAGAGCGUUUCUCCUUCCCCAGCCCCACAUUCUGAUCACAAGCUAAGUGCGGGGUCGCAGAGAACUCACUAAGUUCUCUGGCUGAGGGGUCACACCCCAGAGACCCUCGUGGUGCCACUGCUGCACCACAGCACUGGGGGGCGUGGGCCUGGAAGAAGACUGAACUCAGCACCUGCCUGGGGUGGGGGGGUCUCCCCGCAGGACAAGGGGAGCCAGCUAGCACGUUCGGAUGGCACGUCUGCAUCGUGGCGUGGGAGGGUGGCACGAGCCUUCCCAUAAGCUGAGCGGACGCGGCAGAAGGGACAGGCUAACCCAGAAGGAAGGCAGCUCCUGGGGUGCAGGGGUGCACAGCCGGAGCAGAGCUAAGGGGAGGAGACAGGAGCCCAGCUAGCGAGGGUGUUCCCCACGUCGGGGAAAGCUGCUGUGCUCGGGACUCACCCCUGGAGAAGGCCAGCAACGGUGCCUGGCAUGAAGAGACCACUCUGGACCACAGCACCACUGCCCCCUGCAUCCCUCCUCUCAUCCCGACCCCGAGGAGCCCGGCGCCGAGGCAGGAGGCUCCAGCCCGAACCUGGGAGGGCAGUGGCCAAGGCUGGACAGGGCUGGACCUCGCUCCUACACUUCUGGGCACACAUGCCCCAACGCUGACAGGAGCCCCGGGCCCCCUCCUGGCGUGGGGAAGGACACUGUGCCCUCCAGCUGCCUACUUCAGAAGAGGGGUCCUGGGCAGAAACGAGGGGCAAGGCGACGGUCUCCAUCUGGACACAGGAAGGAGGCACCAUCCUAACCAUCCAUCAACAACACCACCUGUUAGGGAAGGUUUCCCCUGGGCUCCUCCCAGGGGACUUGAAACUCGUUGUGUGUGGUAUUGAUCUCACCUUUGAUUCCCAAAUGCCCUGGAAUGUCUGGCACAAAGAAAGUGCUUCCAAGAUAUUUACUGGAUUGAGUUUAACAAGGAGCCCAGUGUCUGGGGACAGCUCUGGUGUUUUCAGCAUCACAGAAUCAGCCAGCUGUCUGGUUCUAUCGCCCUUUACAAGUGAGAAGGGCAUCCUGCCCGAAAUCACUGUCUUGGAGGCGGGAGAGACUUUGGAGGAAGGAAGUGCAGUUCCAAGUCAAGAUUGUUACAUACUUCAGUGUAUUGGGGCCCAGAUAAAUCAAAGAUGAUACAAUCUGAAAUCUCUCCCAAGCGUCCUUAUAUGGGAGAUUCGUCCUACAGCCAUAACUCAGUACAUAGAUGCACUUUUUUUGGUAAGUGCACGAAAUUUUUUUAUGGGUCUUCCCCUCCACAGAGGAUGCCUCAGCAAAGUGCUUAAUAAAUUGAGAGUACCAUGUCAGCAAAUAUUUUGGAGUGUAGACCCUUGGUGCAGUUUUGCACUGACCAUUGCCAUGGGUGAACUUCUGAUCUUUGAUCAAGUGGGCCUUUUUUUUUUUUUUUUUUUAACUCUUCCCCAAGAUCCGCAAUACCUCUGGGUAACCUGGACCAUAUAAAUAUUUAACCAAGUUGUUCCACGUGGGAUUUUCAAGUAUGAAUGAUGCAAUUUCCCUCGUAAGAAAAAUCUGUGUUCCCCUGAUUUGCAGUCACAACCCACCAUGCCUGCAGACUGCCCCCCCCCCCACCCCGCACACUGCCUUUUUCUUACCACACACACACUGUCUGGAGAGAGAGCCAAGGGACCUCCGGGGAGGAAACUGCGAAGAAACGGAAUGUCUAAAUAAAGUCAAGUCUUCUCAGAGCACCUCGCGUUCAUUAUUCAAAGAACAUUUCACACAUACCCUCUCGCUCUGUACA
Molecule: long non-coding RNA, 4840 nt
Organism: Balaenoptera ricei (Rice's whale)
Lineage: Eukaryota; Metazoa; Chordata; Mammalia; Artiodactyla; Balaenopteridae
Exons: 3
Source: RefSeq, a predicted model, not a curated record